RNAcentral lists this ribosomal RNA (422 nucleotides) under uncultured cyanobacterium. Its description in RNAcentral is "bacterial SSU rRNA". It matches the Rfam family "Bacterial small subunit ribosomal RNA", at positions 358 to 795 of the family's 1533-position model. The record is from RNAcentral. Lineage: Bacteria; Bacillati; Cyanobacteriota.
GGAAUUUUCCGCAAUGGGCGAAAGCCUGACGGAGCAACGCCGCGUGAGGGAUGAAGGCCUCUGGGCUGUAAACCUCUUUUAUCAAGGAAGAAGAUCUGACGGUACUUGAUGAAUAAGCCACGGCUAAUUCCGUGCCAGCAGCCGCGGUAAUACGGGAGUGGCAAGCGUUAUCCGGAAUUAUUGGGCGUAAAGCGUCCGCAGGCGGUCUGUCAAGUCUGCUGUUAAAGCGUGGAGCUUAACUCCAUUUCGGCAGUGGAAACUGACAGACUAGAGUGUGGUAGGGGCGGAGGGAAUUCCCGGUGUAGCGGUGAAAUGCGUAGAUAUCGGGAAGAACACCAGUGGCGAAGGCGCUCUGCUGGGCCAUAACUGACGCUCAUGGACGAAAGCCAGGGGAGCGAAAGGGAUUAGAUACCCCAGUAGUC